GAUGAACGCUAGCUACAGGCUUAACACAUGCAAGUCGAGGGGCAGCAUGGUCUUAGCUUGCUAAGGCUGAUGGCGACCGGCGCACGGGUGAGUAACACGUAUCCAACCUGCCGUCUACUCUUGGCCAGCCUUCUGAAAGGAAGAUUAAUCCAGGAUGGGAUCAUGAGUUCACAUGUCCGCAUGAUUAAAGGUAUUUUCCGGUAGACGAUGGGGAUGCGUUCCAUUAGAUAGUAGGCGGGGUAACGGCCCACCUAGUCAACGAUGGAUAGGGGUUCUGAGAGGAAGGUCCCCCACAUUGGAACUGAGACACGGUCCAAACUCCUACGGGAGGCAGCAGUGAGGAAUAUUGGUCAAUGGGCGAUGGCCUGAACCAGCCAAGUAGCGUGAAGGAUGACUGCCCUAUGGGUUGUAAACUUCUUUUAUAAAGGAAUAAAGUCGGGUAUGCAUACCCGUU
This 454-nucleotide ribosomal RNA is filed under the name uncultured Bacteroides sp. RNAcentral's name for it is "bacterial SSU rRNA". It matches the Rfam family "Bacterial small subunit ribosomal RNA", at positions 28 to 469 of the family's 1533-position model. The record is from RNAcentral. Lineage: Bacteria; Pseudomonadati; Bacteroidota; Bacteroidia; Bacteroidales; Bacteroidaceae.